This 545-nucleotide ribosomal RNA is filed under the name Rhodotorula mucilaginosa. RNAcentral describes it as "LSU rRNA". It matches the Rfam family "Eukaryotic large subunit ribosomal RNA", at positions 55 to 615 of the family's 3401-position model. The record is from RNAcentral. Lineage: Eukaryota; Fungi; Basidiomycota; Microbotryomycetes; Sporidiobolales; Sporidiobolaceae.
GGAAAAGAAACUAACAAGGAUUCCCCUAGUAGCGGCGAGCGAAGCGGGAAGAGCUCAAAUUUAUAAUCUGGCACCUUCGGUGUCCGAGUUGUAAUCUCUAGAAAUGUUUUCCGCGUUGGACCGCACACAAGUCUGUUGGAAUACAGCGGCAUAGUGGUGAGACCCCCGUAUAUGGUGCGGACGCCCAGCGCUUUGUGAUACAUUUUCGAAGAGUCGAGUUGUUUGGGAAUGCAGCUCAAAUUGGGUGGUAAAUUCCAUCUAAAGCUAAAUAUUGGCGAGAGACCGAUAGCGAACAAGUACCGUGAGGGAAAGAUGAAAAGCACUUUGGAAAGAGAGUUAACAGUACGUGAAAUUGUUGGAAGGGAAACGCUUGAAGUCAGACUUGCUUGCCGAGCAAUCGGUUUGCAGGCCAGCAUCAGUUUUCCGGGAUGGAUAAUGGUAGAGAGAAGGUAGCAGUUUCGGCUGUGUUAUAGCUCUCUGCUGGAUACAUCUUGGGGGACUGAGGAACGCAGUGUGCCUUUGGCGGGGGUUUCGACCUCUCACAC